This 254-nucleotide ribosomal RNA is filed under the name uncultured bacterium. RNAcentral's name for it is "partial 16S ribosomal RNA". It matches the Rfam family "Bacterial small subunit ribosomal RNA", at positions 524 to 776 of the family's 1533-position model. The record is from RNAcentral.
UACGUAGGGUGCGAGCGUUGUCCGGAAUUAUUGGGCGUAAAGAGCUCGUAGGCGGUGUGUCGCGUCGGCCGUGAAAACCUGGGGCUCAACUCUGGGCGUGCGGUCGAUACGGGCAUCACUUGAGUUCGGCAGGGGAGACUGGAAUUCCUGGUGUAGCGGUGAAAUGCGCAGAUAUCAGGAGGAACACCGGUGGCGAAGGCGGCUUCCUGGACCGACACUGACGCUGAGGCGCGAAAGCUAGGGGAGCAAACGGG